CCUACGGGCGGCAGCAGUGGGGAAUAUUGGACAAUGGGCGAAAGCCUGAUCCAGCCAUGCCGCGUGUGUGAAGAAGGUCUUCGGAUUGUAAAGCACUUUAAGUUGGGAGGAAGGGCAGUAAAUUAAUACUUUGCUGUUUUGACGUUACCGACAGAAUAAGCACCGGCUAACUCUGUGCCAGCAGCCGCGGUAAUACAGAGGGUGCAAGCGUUAAUCGGAAUUACUGGGCGUAAAGCGCGCGUAGGUGGGUCGUUCAGUAGGAUGUGAAAUGCCCUGGGUCGACCUGGGAACUGCAUUCAAAACUGACGAGUUAGAGUAUGGUAGAGGGUGGUGGAAUUUGCUGUGUAGCGGUUGAAUGCGUAGAUAUAGGAAGGAACACCAGUGGCGAAGGCGACCACCUGGACUGAUACUGACACUGAGGUGCGAAAGCGUGGGGAGCAAACAGGAUUAGAUACCCUAGUAGUC
Molecule: ribosomal RNA, 465 nt
Filed under: uncultured Pseudomonas sp.
Lineage: Bacteria; Pseudomonadati; Pseudomonadota; Gammaproteobacteria; Pseudomonadales; Pseudomonadaceae
Description: bacterial SSU rRNA
Rfam family: Bacterial small subunit ribosomal RNA
Source: RNAcentral